UUAAAAGUAAUGAUGAAGACGGCAUUAAGAGAUGGCUUCAGAGAGCCGGUGGACGCUGUGAACCGGUGCCAAAUCUUAUCCAUGCCCAGCCCUUCUGAACUGGCAGCUGAACUUUUUAGUAGGCGCGCCCGGGAAAUACCCGUUAUAUUUUAAUGAAGGCUGCAUUUAUUUGCGGCAAAAGAGGGUGGCACCACGCGUUCUUACACGUCCCUCAU
Molecule: non-coding RNA, 215 nt
Filed under: Bacillus sp. (in: firmicutes)
Lineage: Bacteria; Bacillati; Bacillota; Bacilli; Caryophanales; Bacillaceae
Description: Bacillus sp. T-box sequence
Rfam family: T-box leader
About the family: Uncharged tRNA acts as the effector for transcription antitermination of genes in the T-box leader family. T-boxes are found upstream of many aminoacyl-tRNA synthetase genes and some amino acid biosynthetic genes usually in Gram-positive bacteria.
Source: RNAcentral